Molecule: ribosomal RNA, 882 nt
Filed under: Nematostella vectensis (starlet sea anemone)
Lineage: Eukaryota; Metazoa; Cnidaria; Anthozoa; Actiniaria; Edwardsiidae
Description: eukaryotic LSU rRNA
Rfam family: Eukaryotic large subunit ribosomal RNA
Source: RNAcentral
AUUUAAAAUCUCCGUUGCUUGCAACGGCGAAUUGUAGUUUCGAGAAGCACUUUCUCGGCGGAUCCGAGGUCGUCCAAGUUGCUUGGAACAGCACGUCGUAGAGGGUGAAAACCCCGUCUGCGGCGACCUCGGUCGUUCACGAUGUGCUUUCGACGAGUCGGGUUGUUUGGGAAUGCAGCCCAAAAUGGGUGGUAAACUCCAUCUAAAGCUAAAUAUUGGCACGAGACCGAUAGCGAACAAGUACCGUGAGGGAAAGAUGAAAAGCACUUUGAAAAGAGAGUUAAAAAGUACGUGAAACCGUUAAAAGGGAAACGAAUGGGGUUAGCAAUGCGUCGUGCGAGAUUCAGCCGGUGGGUGGGCCAGGCGGGCGGUUGGCGGAUCUGAAUGGACCGCUGCCGUUCGGGUUGGUUUCCCGACCGUCGCACUUCUCGCAGGCGCGCGCCAACGUCGGUUAGGGCUGGGUCUCAAAGGCGGUGGGAAGGUAGGUUUGGACUCUCGGGCCCGAACUGUUACAGUCCUCCGUUUGUCAUGGCCCGGACCUGACCGAGGAGCUUGCGGUGCAUGCCGUUCGGCUAGGGUCCCGUCUUCCCGGUCGGUCGUCGAAUGCGGUGGACUGCGUGCAGUGCGCCGCGACUGCUGCCGGUCGCGAGGGCGGUGAUUUCGUACUAUGCACCCACGACGUUGGCGGUCAUAUGGCCUCAUCCGACCCGUCUUGAAACACGGACCAAGGAGUCUAACAUGUGUGCGAGUCUUUGAGUGAUCGAAACUCCGAGGCGUAAUGAAAGUGAAGGCGACUUCGGUCGCUGAGGUGAGAGCCUUUUUCCACAAAAAAAGGCGCAUCAUUGACCGACCUAUUCUACUCUUAGAAAGGUUUGAGUAAGA